This 1109-nucleotide long non-coding RNA is filed under the name Junco hyemalis (dark-eyed junco). RNAcentral describes it as "lncRNA (ENSJHYG00000009139.1)". Lineage: Eukaryota; Metazoa; Chordata; Aves; Passeriformes; Passerellidae. The record is from RNAcentral.
AUGUCACUGCUGUCUAGAUGGGUGUUUGGCUGCUGGAAGGCUCAUGUUGGAAGGCUCAUAGCCUGCACAGGAACCUGCAGCACUCAGAAAUCCGGUUCAGUGGCACCAAGGGACAUCGGCAGGUGCUGCUGCCACGUGUGCCCAGGCAGCAGGUCCAGGCACAGGUCAGGCUGCCUGGGGAAGCAGCCAGCCUGGGUCACUUGCUCAGUAAUUUCAGCAAAUGGUGAUGGUGCAGCGUUCCUCCUGGCCCCAAGCCAUGGCAGUGCAGUGCCACCACAGGUGACCUCCACCUUGUGCUGCCGUGCAGCGCUUGGAGCAAGCUGACAACAGGAGCAAGCAGAGGUGAACUUUGAAGAAGCUGAAGCGUCUGGCCGGCCCCGAGCUGCCACUGCUGCAGUGAGCUCCUUUCCCGGCUGGAGGCUGCGCUGCCGGCCCGCAGGAGGCUCCACAUGGGGCGGUGGGAGCAGAGCCUGGCUCUGCCCCAUCGCCCCUCCUGCCCUGCGAGCAUGGAGCAGCACUGCAGCCUCUGACAGCAGCUGAGAAGGCUACCAGGAGGCAGGUCAAGGGUCUUUCUUCUGGAGAUCUUCAAGCUGGAAUCUGGGUUAGAAAAAGUUCCAUCUCAAGCAGUGAUUAAGAAUGGGACUGAAAUGAGAUAAACAGCGAGUUGUCAGCAGCUUCAGAAGCGAUUCCUGCCCUAGGGGAAGUGCCAUUCGUCUGUUUUGCUGUGUACUGGGUCAGAGCUUAUGCUAAAAUAUUGCAGAUUGUCAGCUUUGUCUGUGGCUUUGGGAAUAUUUCAGUGGCCCUUGCUGCAUGCGCUGGCAUUCUAAUGGAGCUUUAUGAAAGGGCUUUUUUGGUGUAAUCCAUCAACAGAUAAGCCCAGGGAGAAAGAGCAGGAGAAUUCAGCUCCUCUCCCAAGAGAGGCAGUGAUGAAGAUGCAUGCAUUAGGCAUCUCCUCUCCCUUUGGUACACCCUGCAUAGCAGGGCCUCCAAGGAUCUCGUCAAGCACAGUGCUAGCUGAGUGGGCGUCCUGCCUGACAAAAGCUUUUCUUAAUAGCCUUUUUCACUUACAUGUAGAGAAUAAAGUUCUUGACUUUAUCUUUCUUCUUCCA